CAGACGAUGCGUCAUGCAUAUCAAUAAGCGGAGGAAAAGAAACUAACAAGGAUUCCCUUAGUAACAGCGAGUGAAGCGGGAAGAGCUCAAAUUUGAAACCUUCAAGGUUUUACCUUGACGAAUUGUAGUUUAAAGAAGUGUUUUCUGUUGAAGUUUUGGUAAAAGUUCUUUGGAAUAGGACAUCAUAGAGGGUGAGAAUCCCGUAUUUGACCAUUAUUUUCAGCUGUGUGAUACACUUUCAAAGAGUCGGAUUGUUUGGGAAUGCAGUCCAAAAUGGGUGGUAAAUUUCAUCUAAAGCUAAAUAUUGGCGAGAGACCGAUAGCGAACAAGUACCGUGAGGGAAAGAUGAAAAGAACUUUGAAAAGAGAGUUAAACAGUACGUGAAAUUGUCAAAAGGGAAGCGUUUGACACCAGUGUUGUUUUCCUCGAAAAUCAAUUAAAAAGAGUUGGAUUUUGUGUUGUAUUGACCUUAACAGCUUGCUUCACUCUUUUCCUGCUUUUUUUAAUGCACUUUUCGUUUAACAAGUCAACAUCAGUUUCUUUUGUUGUAAAAGGGUCAUUGGAAGGUGGCUUUCUCUUCGGAGAAAGUGUUUAUAGCCUUUGAUCUCUGCAAUCGGAGAGACUGAGGUCUGCAGCGUAGAUCCUUCGGGGUUAGAUACAUUUGUGCUAAGCUACAGCUUUUCAUAGACAACUUGUUGACUAUGCUUCAGUCAUUGUAGCUUACUCCGCUUAUGCUAUUUUACCUACGCUUAGGAUGUUGAUAUGCAUGACUGAUAU
RNAcentral lists this ribosomal RNA (777 nucleotides) under uncultured Neocallimastigales. Its description in RNAcentral is "partial large subunit ribosomal RNA". It matches the Rfam family "Eukaryotic large subunit ribosomal RNA", at positions 18 to 640 of the family's 3401-position model. Lineage: Eukaryota; Fungi; Neocallimastigomycota; Neocallimastigomycetes; Neocallimastigales. The record is from RNAcentral.